CGCGUAGGCGGCUUUAUAAGUCUGGAGUGAAAGUCCUCUUUUCAAGGGAGGAAUUGCUUUGGAAACUAUAGAGCUUGAGUGCAGGAGAGGUUAUCGGAAUUCCCGGUGUAGCGGUGAAAUGCGUAGAUAUCGGGAGGAACAUCGGUGGCGAAGGCAGGUAACUGGACUGCAACUGACGCUGAGGCGCGAAAGUGUGGGGAGCAAACA
RNAcentral lists this ribosomal RNA (207 nucleotides) under uncultured bacterium. RNAcentral describes it as "partial 16S ribosomal RNA". It matches the Rfam family "Bacterial small subunit ribosomal RNA", at positions 568 to 774 of the family's 1533-position model. The record is from RNAcentral.